UACGGUAAUAUCAUGUUGAAACAAUUGUUCUCGUACGAUCAACGAAGUUAAGCAACGUCGAGCCUGAUCGGUAUCUAGAUGAAUGACCGCUUGGGAAUAACAGGUGCUGUAAG
Molecule: non-coding RNA, 113 nt
Organism: Acanthosepion pharaonis
Lineage: Eukaryota; Metazoa; Mollusca; Cephalopoda; Sepiida; Sepiidae
Source: the annotation of a GenBank genome assembly